This 30-nucleotide non-coding RNA is filed under the name Rattus norvegicus (Norway rat). Lineage: Eukaryota; Metazoa; Chordata; Mammalia; Rodentia; Muridae. The record is from RNAcentral.
UCGGAUAAUUUUUAUCCUUUUGGAGAACGG